GACGAACGCUGGCGGCACGCUUAACACAUGCAAGUCGAACGGAGUUUUUUAACGGAAGUCUUCGGACGGAAGGUAAAAGACUUAGUGGCGGACGGGUGAGUAACACGUGAGUAAUCUGCCUUACAGAGGGGGAUAACGUUCUGAAAAGAACGCUAAUACCGCAUAAGCCAACGAAAUCGCAUGGUUUAGUUGGAAAAGGAGCAAUCCGCUGUAAGAUGAGCUCGCGUCCGAUUAGCUAGUUGGCGGGGUAACAGCCCACCAAGGCGACGAUCGGUAGCCGGACUGAGAGGUUGGACGGCCACAUUGGGACUGAGACACGGCCCAGACUCCUACGGGAGGCAGCAGUGGGGGAAUAUUGCACAAUGGAGGAAACUCUGAUGCAGCGACGCCGCGUGAGGGAAGAAGGUAUUCGUAUUGUAAACCUCUGUCUUCGGGGGACGAUAAUGACGGUACCCGAGGAGGAAGCACCGGCUAACUACGUG
RNAcentral lists this ribosomal RNA (482 nucleotides) under uncultured bacterium. RNAcentral's name for it is "bacterial SSU rRNA". It matches the Rfam family "Bacterial small subunit ribosomal RNA", at positions 28 to 507 of the family's 1533-position model. The record is from RNAcentral.